AGCAGCCGCGGUAAUUCCAGCUCCAAUAGCGUAUAUUAAAGUUGUUGCAGUUAAAAAGCUCGUAGUUGAAUUUCGGGAUCAAGGAAUCGGUCAUGCCUUGGUAUGUACUGGUUUUAUUGGUUCUCACCUUCUAAAGAACCAUAAUGUCAUUUAUUUGAUGUUAUGGGGAAUUAGGACUGUUACCUUGAAAAAUUAGAGUGUUUAAAGCAAGCUUACGCUUGAAUACAUUAGCAUGGAAUAAUGAAAUAGGACAUCAGAUUCUAUUUUGUUGGUUUCUAGGAUCGAUGUAAUGAUUAAUAGGGAUAGUUGGGGGCAUUAGUAUUCAAUUGUCAGAGGUGAAAUUCUUGGAUUUAUCGAAGACUAACUACUGCGAAAGCAUUUGCCAAGGAUGUUUUCAUUAAUCAAGAACGAAAGUUAGGGGAUCGAAGACGAUCAGAUACCGUCGUAGUC
RNAcentral lists this ribosomal RNA (450 nucleotides) under uncultured Glomeromycotina. RNAcentral's name for it is "SSU rRNA". It matches the Rfam family "Eukaryotic small subunit ribosomal RNA", at positions 569 to 1025 of the family's 1831-position model. The record is from RNAcentral. Lineage: Eukaryota; Fungi; Glomeromycota.